Molecule: ribosomal RNA, 431 nt
Filed under: uncultured bacterium
Lineage: Bacteria
Description: partial 16S ribosomal RNA
Rfam family: Bacterial small subunit ribosomal RNA
Source: RNAcentral
CCUACGGGUGGCUGCAGUGGGGAAUAUUGCACAAUGGGCGCAAGCCUGAUGCAGCCAUGCCGCGUGUGUGAAGAAGGCCUUCGGGUUGUAAAGCACUUUCAGUGAGGAGGCGUUACUCGCAGAAGAAGCACCGGCUAACUCCGUGCCAGCAGCCGCGGUAAUACGGAGGGUGCAAGCGUUAAUCGGAAUUACUGGGCGUAAAGCGCACGCAGGCGGUUUGUUAAGUCAGAUGUGAAAUCCCCGCGCUUAACGUGGGAACUGCAUUUGAAACUGGCAAGCUAGAGUCUUGUAGAGGGGGGUAGAAUUCCAGGUGUAGUGGUGAAAUGCGUAGAGAUCUGGAGGAAUACCGGUGGCGAAGGCGGCCCCCUGGACAAGCUGACGCUCAGGUGCGAAAGCGUGGGGAGCAAACAGGAUUAGAUACCCGAGUAGUC